This 937-nucleotide ribosomal RNA is filed under the name Microbacterium paraoxydans. RNAcentral describes it as "bacterial SSU rRNA". It matches the Rfam family "Bacterial small subunit ribosomal RNA", at positions 55 to 1002 of the family's 1533-position model. Lineage: Bacteria; Bacillati; Actinomycetota; Actinomycetes; Micrococcales; Microbacteriaceae. The record is from RNAcentral.
AUGCAAGUCGAACGGUGAAGCAGAGCUUGCUCUGUGGAUCAGUGGCGAACGGGUGAGUAACACGUGAGCAACCUGCCCCUGACUCUGGGAUAAGCGCUGGAAACGGCGUCUAAUACUGGAUAUGAGCUGCGAUCGCAUGGUCAGCAGUUGGAAAGAUUUUUCGGUCUGGGAUGGGCUCACGGCCUAUCAGCUUGUUGGUGAGGUAAUGGCUCACCAAGGCGUCGACGGGUAGCCGGCCUGAGAGGGUGACCGGCCACACUGGGACUGAGACACGGCCCAGACUCCUACGGGAGGCAGCAGUGGGGAAUAUUGCACAAUGGGCGAAAGCCUGAUGCAGCAACGCCGCGUGAGGGAUGACGGCCUUCGGGUUGUAAACCUCUUUUAGCAGGGAAGAAGCGAAAGUGACGGUACCUGCAGAAAAAGCGCCGGCUAACUACGUGCCAGCAGCCGCGGUAAUACGUAGGGCGCAAGCGUUAUCCGGAAUUAUUGGGCGUAAAGAGCUCGUAGGCGGUUUGUCGCGUCUGCUGUGAAAUCCCGAGGCUCAACCUCGGGUCUGCAGUGGGUACGGGCAGACUAGAGUGCGGUAGGGGAGAUUGGAAUUCCUGGUGUAGCGGUGGAAUGCGCAGAUAUCAGGAGGAACACCGAUGGCGAAGGCAGAUCUCUGGGCCGUUACUGACGCUGAGGAGCGAAAGGGUGGGGAGCAAACAGGCUUAGAUACCCUGGUAGUCCACCCCGUAAACGUUGGGAACUAGUUGUGGGGUCCAUUCCACGGAUUCCGUGACGCAGCUAACGCAUUAAGUUCCCCGCCUGGGGAGUACGGCCGCAAGGCUAAAACUCAAAGGAAUUGACGGGGACCCGCACAAGCGGCGGAGCAUGCGGAUUAAUUCGAUGCAACGCGAAGAACCUUACCAAGGCUUGACAUAUACGAGAACGGGCC